AAACAAUAUGUAACUUGACCUUGCAUGCUGUUUGGUUUAGCCUUGAGGGUAAAGGGCUAAAGACCACCCUAUAUCUUGUAACACUGUUUUGGAAUGAUGAGGUGCUUUGGACCUGAUGACUUGUUUUCUGUUCUUAUGAUCAUUCAUUUAACCAGCAUACAUUCCCAUUACCGACAGCAUACAUAAUCCUGAAGUCUUCUCAGGGAAAAGGAAGGUCUUACAUCAGUGAUGAGCUUAAUAACUAAAUGUAAGCAAGUAUUUGAAGAGAUGAAGCACUGAUUCCUGAACCAUUUGUUAGAGAGGGUUAGAUCAGUUGGCUAAAACCUCUGUGUGUGUGUGGGGUGGGGGUAAGAGUAGAGGAUUGUGGUGGUUUGUUGUUGUUGUUGUUGUUGUUCUUGUUUUCUGGCAGUGAGACAGUGAAUACCGGACUCUCACUAAUUUCACAUGAAAUUUACAAAGAUCUACGGAGUUUGUUGGCUUCUCUUUCUUUUUCUUUUUCUCAAAGGAAUUUUGAAAACUUUAAAUGCUAUAUUGUCUAUAAUCUUGCAGCAAAAUGGUAGUUAAGAGUGAUGGUUUAAGUUGUUGCCAUUAAGAUGGCGAGAGAGAUCUACUAAGCACUGGUAUUCAGUAAUAAGAGUUCUUUUUGAUUCAGUUGAGGCUUGUCCCAGUCACAGAUACAAUAGUUGUUUUUGUUUAUGUUUGGUUUUAAAAUUGAUUUCAUGAGAUAAUGGUGAGAAGACAAUGUUGAAAUUUAUAGGCAUUAAAAGGUAUUGCCUUUAUAUAAUCUCGUCUUCAACUCUGGAUAAUAGUACCCAUAAUCAGGCUACAAUUCUUCCUAUGGUAUAUUUAAUGGAAAAUACUAUAUGGAACUAUUUUUAGUUUUUCAUCCAGUUGUUGUUUAAGUGUUUCAUUAUGGAAUUUUCAUAAUGCAGACUUGAGCCCUUUCUUACCCCCCACAAUUUUGUAGUUAUGACAGUUUUUAAAUGACUAUUUUGACUGUCAUCUCCAAACAUCCAAAAAUAAUGUUAAUUUUUCUGGAAAGGAAUAUUGACAUAUUUGCUCUCACAAGAGUCACCAUUUUGUAUUUAGUGUAUCUGAUAAUUCAUUCAGUAGAUGGCAGGUUCUGUGGUAGGUACUAAUAGUGAUUUCCAGACUUGGCUGCCAUCAGAACCACCUAGGGAGCUUUUAAGCAGUCACAGGCGUGGGCUGCAUCCUGGAAAGCAUUUUGAGUCUUUGGAGUUAUUAUGAGGUAAUAAUUGCUCCUUCUUCCCUCUUGUAAAGUGCAUCCAUGGUCAGAUUCCUUGGAGGGAGUGCCCGUGAGGAUAGCAGAACUGAGACUUGUACCCAGGGCGGUCUGAUUGUCAUGUCCAUGUACUGCGCUUGUGCUGUAGGUGGCCCCUGGUGGCCUGUGUAAAAUAUGUAGCUGAGGGUACUGUCUUCAAACAGUGGUCUUUGGGAAGAUAACACAUUUUCUUUAAAGGCAAAACAAAGUUGUUUGAAGUGUAAUUGUUUAGCCUUAGUAGCCAAACAAUAAGUAGUCAGAACUUCUUUCCUAUGGAAAUAUGUCUCAAGUAGCUUCUAAGAAAGAAGCUAAGCAUUUGCAAUACUGAAGGAAACUAAGGAGUUUAUACUUUGCAUAUGCAUGUACCAUGGCUAUAAGCCUAAAGAAUAUGGCCAUUUCAUGAAUUUUUUAAGCUAACUGCUCUUCUCUUUUCUUUGUAUGUUUCAUGAGUGAUGAACACUGUAUAACACUUCAUGGCUCCUACCACCUGCCUCACACCUGGUCAUUACAGCUUUAUGCUAAGAAAAAGUCUCUAGCUGGUGUAGUGGUGUACACUUUUAAUUCUAGCAUUUUGGAGGCAGAGGCAGGAGGCCAGCCUGAGUUCCAGAAAAGCCAAAGCUACAUAGUGAGAACUGCUUU
Molecule: long non-coding RNA, 1921 nt
Filed under: Mus musculus (house mouse)
Lineage: Eukaryota; Metazoa; Chordata; Mammalia; Rodentia; Muridae
Description: long non-coding RNA chr8:94610776-94612697
Source: RNAcentral